RNAcentral lists this small RNA (571 nucleotides) under Theobroma cacao (cacao). RNAcentral describes it as "sRNA Tc01v2_g011740". Lineage: Eukaryota; Viridiplantae; Streptophyta; Magnoliopsida; Malvales; Malvaceae. The record is from RNAcentral.
GUCUCCUCUUUCCUUUUUGCUCUGUUUGUAAUAUUGAUAUAAGAUAUAAUAUGACUCAAGCAGGCAUUCUUAGUGGAUUCUUAAUAUACUAGAAGAGGACAAGGAAAAUCUUUAAUUGUUCUUUCACUAUAAGGCGACUGUUGAUGACAGGAGCAAAAGGGCUUUAUAAAGACUGUCAUUCUGAUAAGGACUGUGUGCUCAAGUGCUGACCGUGCACUGAGAAAGCUUAGUGCAUUAAGGGCUGACUCUUGGUCAUUGAUCUGCUAUCUAGUUUGUUGGGGUUUCUUGACAUUACGCCUCUGUUGGGUCAUUUGGUUACCAAUAUUUGACUGUUUAGGCAUCGGAUCUGGAGUAACGGAGACAAUUUUGACUGCUUUAAGAGGUGUUGUAAAGCAUUCUGGGAAGAGUGUCAGCCCUGCGACUAGAAUUCGUGUCUUCACGUUCCUUAAGUAUUUAAUUUCUCAUGAUGAUGACCAAGCUUGAAUGUAUGUGUCGAGCAUAUUGACUACUAUGUGUUUUAUCACUGGUACAGUGUAGAUGUUCUUCAGAACCUUUUGGGUAGUUGCCUUUA